CCCACUACUUUUCGCAACAAACUCUCCCUGACUCUGGGCAGCCCACUGCCAGACGGUUACAGACACUGCUAUCAGUCUGUUGCUCCCUCCGCCUAUAAAAGGGAGACGCCAGAUACGUUAUUCUCUAAGCUCUCAUUUUUACCUAGAAACUCUGCUAAAAUUUUCGUUCGAGCACUCCAUUCUUGUUGAGGCAGAGAACUGACUUGAGCG
Molecule: long non-coding RNA, 210 nt
Filed under: Elaeis guineensis (African oil palm)
Lineage: Eukaryota; Viridiplantae; Streptophyta; Magnoliopsida; Arecales; Arecaceae
Description: long non-coding RNA (EGUI_LNC061659)
Source: RNAcentral